Molecule: ribosomal RNA, 253 nt
Filed under: uncultured bacterium
Lineage: Bacteria
Description: partial 16S ribosomal RNA
Rfam family: Bacterial small subunit ribosomal RNA
Source: RNAcentral
UACGUAGGGUGCGAGCGUUGUCCGGAAUUAUUGGGCGUAAAGGGCUCGUAGGCGGUUUGUCGCGUCGGGAGUGAAAUCCACUGGCUUAACUGGUGGCUUGCUUUCGAUACGGGCAGACUGGAGGUAUGCAGGGGAGAACGGAAUUCCUGGUGUAGCGGUGAAAUGCGCAGAUAUUGGGAGGAACACCAGUGGCGAAGGCGGCUACCUGGACCGGUUCUGACGCUGAGGCGCGAAAGCGUGGGUAGCAAACAGG